This 801-nucleotide ribosomal RNA is filed under the name Paraleptospora chromolaenae. RNAcentral's name for it is "partial large subunit ribosomal RNA". It matches the Rfam family "Eukaryotic large subunit ribosomal RNA", at positions 64 to 884 of the family's 3401-position model. Lineage: Eukaryota; Fungi; Ascomycota; Dothideomycetes; Pleosporales; Phaeosphaeriaceae. The record is from RNAcentral.
AGCAACAGGGAUUGCCCUAGUAACGGCGAGUGAAGCGGCAACAGCUCAAAUUUGAAAUCUGGCUCUUUCAGAGUCCGAGUUGUAAUUUGCAGAGGGCGCUUUGGUGUUGGCGGCGGUCCAAGUUCUUUGGAACAGGACGUCACAGAGGGUGAGAAUCCCGUACGUGGUCGCUAGCCUUCACCGUGUAAAGCCCCUUCGACGAGUCGAGUUGUUUGGGAAUGCAGCUCUAAAUGGGAGGUAAAUUUCUUCUAAAGCUAAAUACUGGCCAGAGACCGAUAGCGCACAAGUAGAGUGAUCGAAAGAUGAAAAGCACUUUGGAAAGAGAGUCAAACAGCACGUGAAAUUGUUGAAAGGGAAGCGCUUGCAGCCAGACUUGCCUGUAGUUGCUUAUCCGGACUUUUGUCCGGUGCACUCUUCUGCGGGCAGGCCAGCAUCAGUUUGGGCGGUUGGAUAAAGGUCUCUGUCAUGUACCUCCUUUCGGGGAGGCCUUAUAGGGGAGACGACAUGCAACCAGCCUGGACUGAGGUCCGCGCAUCUGCUAGGAUGCUGGCGUAAUGGCUGUAAGCGGCCCGUCUUGAAACACGGACCAAGGAGUCUAACAUCUAUGCGAGUGUUUGGGUGUCAAGCCCAGACGCGUAAUGAAAGUGAACGGAGGUGGGAACCCUUUGGGUGCACCAUCGACCGAUCCUGAUGUCUUCGGAAGGAUUUGAGUAAGAGCAUGGCUGUUGGGACCCGAAAGAUGGUGAACUAUGCUUGAAUAGGGUGAAGCCAGAGGAAACUCUGGUGGAGGCUCGCAGCGGG